AGCCCAUGGUGCGGACAAAUUCUCAACAUGUCCUUAUAUCUCUCCCAUGCUUCGAAAAGCAAUUUGUUAUCUUUUGGCCUAAAUCCGUUGAUUUGACUUCUUAGCAU
Small nucleolar RNA from Lathyrus oleraceus (garden pea), 107 nucleotides. NCBI's taxonomy places the organism in Eukaryota, Viridiplantae, Streptophyta, Magnoliopsida, Fabales, Fabaceae. The record is from RefSeq and is a predicted model, not a curated record.